This 572-nucleotide ribosomal RNA is filed under the name Hammondia heydorni. RNAcentral describes it as "LSU rRNA". It matches the Rfam family "Eukaryotic large subunit ribosomal RNA", at positions 419 to 924 of the family's 3401-position model. Lineage: Eukaryota; Apicomplexa; Conoidasida; Eucoccidiorida; Sarcocystidae. The record is from RNAcentral.
GCGAUUGGGACCCUUCCGAUUCCAAGAAGUGCCGCCGGUUUGCCAUCUAUCCCUUUGCCUUCUCUCUCUCACCAGGUUUAGGCUUAGGUUUCUCGAUGUAUUUCCGGUUAAUCUUUUUGGAGAGGUCAGCAUCAGCUACUCGGAAUUGAUUUCGUUCAAAGAAGGUAGGUUCCUUGUGGACCCUUAUAUCUUUGUUCUUUCCUUUUCCUUGUGGCUGAGGAGUGUUUUGGUUUCCGAGCUCCACUUUCGAGUACUCGGUUUCUGUGAUGCUGGCUUAAUCGGUUCCAACCGACCCGUCUUGAAACACGGACCAAGGAGUCUAACAUAUGUGCGAGUAUGCGGGUUUUACUCCUGUAUGCGCAAUGAAAGUGAGAGUAGGGAGAUUUUGGCUUUGCCAUUCUUCGCACCUACGACCGACCACGAUCUCUGAGAGAGGUUUGAGUUGGAGCAUAUCUGUUAGGACCCGAAAGAUGGUGAACUAUGCCUGAGUAGAAUGAAGUCAGGGGAAACCCUGAUGGAGGUUCGUAGCGAUACUGACGUGCAAAUCGUUCGUCAAACUUGGGUAUAGGGGC